GAGGGUAUAGCUCAAGUGGUAGAGCACAUGCUUAGCAUACACAAGGUCCUGGGUUCAACCCCAAGUACCUCCU
This 73-nucleotide transfer RNA is filed under the name Camelus bactrianus (Bactrian camel). It matches the Rfam family "tRNA". Rfam says of the family: Transfer RNA (tRNA) molecules are approximately 80 nucleotides in length. Their secondary structure includes four short double-helical elements and three loops (D, anti-codon, and T loops). Further hydrogen bonds mediate the characteristic L-shaped molecular structure. tRNAs have two regions of fundamental functional importance: the anti-codon, which is responsible for specific mRNA codon recognition, and the 3' end, to which the tRNAs corresponding amino acid is attached (by aminoacyl-tRNA synthetases). tRNAs cope with the degeneracy of the genetic code in two manners: having more than one tRNA (with a specific anti-codon) for a particular amino acid; and 'wobble' base-pairing, i.e. permitting non-standard base-pairing at the 3rd anti-codon position. The record is from Rfam by way of RNAcentral. RNAcentral also lists the same sequence under 2 other names. Lineage: Eukaryota; Metazoa; Chordata; Mammalia; Artiodactyla; Camelidae.